AUUGAACGCUGGCGGAAUGCUUUACACAUGCAAGUCGAGCGGCAGCGCGGGGCAACCUGGCGGCGAGCGGCGAACGGGUGAGUAAUGCAUCGGAACAUGUCCAUGUCGUGGGGGAUAGCCCGGCGAAAGCCGGAUUAAUACCGCAUACGCUCGAGAGAGGAAAGCCGGGGACCGCAAGGCCUGGCGCGAUUGGGUUGGCCGAUGUCCGAUUAGCUAGUUGGUGAGGUAAAGGCUUACCAAGGCGAUGAUCGGUAGCUGGUCUGAGAGGAUGAUCAGCCACACUGGGACUGAGACACGGCCCAGACUCCUAUGGGAGGCAGCAGUGGGGAAUUUUGGACAAUGGGGGCAACCCUGAUCCAGCCAUUCCGCGUGAGUGAAGAAGGCCUUCGGGUUGUAAAGCGUCUUUGUCCGGUAGCGAAACGGAAGUAGGUGAAUAUCCACUUCUACUGACGGUACCGGAAGGAAUAAGACACCGGCUAACUACGUGCCAGCAGCCGCGGUAAUC
This 505-nucleotide ribosomal RNA is filed under the name uncultured bacterium. RNAcentral's name for it is "bacterial SSU rRNA". It matches the Rfam family "Bacterial small subunit ribosomal RNA", at positions 29 to 525 of the family's 1533-position model. The record is from RNAcentral.